This is a transfer RNA of Pisolithus microcarpus 441, 86 nucleotides long. It matches the Rfam family "tRNA". From Rfam's summary of the family: Transfer RNA (tRNA) molecules are approximately 80 nucleotides in length. Their secondary structure includes four short double-helical elements and three loops (D, anti-codon, and T loops). NCBI's taxonomy places the organism in Eukaryota, Fungi, Basidiomycota, Agaricomycetes, Boletales, Pisolithaceae. The record is from Rfam.
GGCCGACUAGCUCAGUUGGUUAGAGCGUCGUGCUAAUACCGUAAAGGUUUACGCGAAGGUCUUGGGUUCGAUCCCCACGUUGGCCA